GACGAACGCUGGCGGCGUGCUUAACACAUGCAAGUCGAACGGAAAGGCCCUGCUUUUGUGGGGUGCUCGAGUGGCGAACGGGUGAGCAACACGUGAGUAACCUGCCCUUGACUUUGGGAUAACUUCAGGAAACUGGGGCUAAUACCGGAUAGGAGCUCCUGCUGCAUGGUGGGGGUUGGAAAGUUUCGGCGGUUGGGGAUGGACUCGCGGCUUAUCAGCUUGUUGGUGGGGUAGUGGCUUACCAAGGCUUUGACGGGUAGCCGGCCUGAGAGGGUGACCGGCCACAUUGGGACUGAGAUACGGCCCAGACUCCUACGGGAGGCAGCAGUGGGGAAUAUUGCACAAUGGGCGGAAGCCUGAUGCAGCAACGCCGCGUGCGGGAUGACGGCCUUCGGGUUGUAAACCGCUUUCGCCUGUGACGAAGCGUGAGUGACGGUAAUGGGUAAAGAAGCACCGGCUAACUACGUGCCAGCAGCCGCGGUGAUACGUAGGGUGCGAGCGUUGUCCGGAUUUAUUGGGCGUAAAGGGCUCGUAGGUGGUUGAUCGCGUCGGAAGUGUAAUCUUGGGGCUUAACCCUGAGCGUGCUUUCGAUACGGGUUGACUUGAGGAAGGUAGGGGAGAAUGGAAUUCCUGGUGGAGCGGUGGAAUGCGCAGAUAUCAGGAGGAACACCAGUGGCGAAGGCGGUUCUCUGGGCCUUUCCUGACGCUGAGGAGCGAAAGCGUGGGGAGCGAACAGGCUUAGAUACCCUGGUAGUCCACGCUGUAAACGGUGGGUACUAGGUGUGGGGUCCAUUCCACGGGUUCCGUGCCGUAGCUAACGCUUUAAGUACCCCGCCUGGGGAGUACGGCCGCAAGGCUAAAACUCAAAGGAAUUGACGGGGCCCCGCACAAGCGGCGGAGCAUGCGGAUUAAUUCGAUGCAACGCGUAGAACCUUACCUGGGUUUGACAUGGAUCGGGAGUGCUCAGAGAUGGGUGUGCCUCUUUUGGGGUCGGUUCACAGGUGGUGCAUGGCUGUCGUCAGCUCGUGCCGUGAGAUGUUGGGUUAAGUCCCGCAACGAGCGCAACCCUUGUUCACUGUUGCCAGCACGUUAUGGUGGGGACUCAGUGGAGACCGCCGGGGUCAACUCGGAGGAAGGUGGGGAUGACGUCAAGUCAUCAUGCCCCUUAUGUCCAGGGCUUCACGCAUGCUACAAUGGCUGGUACAGAGAGUGGCGAGCCUGUGAGGGUGAGCGAAUCUCGGAAAGCCGGUCUCAGUUCGGAUUGGGGUCUGCAACUCGACCUCAUGAAGUCGGAGUCGCUAGUAAUCGCAGAUCAGCAACGCUGCGGUGAAUACGUUCCCGGGGCU
RNAcentral lists this ribosomal RNA (1346 nucleotides) under uncultured bacterium. Its description in RNAcentral is "partial 16S ribosomal RNA". It matches the Rfam family "Bacterial small subunit ribosomal RNA", at positions 28 to 1381 of the family's 1533-position model. The record is from RNAcentral.